Molecule: ribosomal RNA, 253 nt
Filed under: uncultured bacterium
Lineage: Bacteria
Description: partial 16S ribosomal RNA
Rfam family: Bacterial small subunit ribosomal RNA
Source: RNAcentral
UACGUAGGGUGCGAGCGUUGUCCGGAAUUACUGGGCGUAAAGAGUGCGUAGGCGGUUGUUUAAGUUUGGUGUGAAAUCUCCCGGCUCAACUGGGAGGGUGCGCCGAAAACUGGACAGCUCGAGGAUGGGAGAGGCAUGCGGAAUUCCUGGUGUAGCGGUGAAAUGCGUAGAUAUCGGGAGGAACACCAGUGGCGAAGGCGGCUCACUGGAUCGGUACUGACGCUGAGGUGCGAAAGCGUGGGGAGCAAACAGG